GGCUGCGAACACUAAACACCGUAGUGUGGUUGUUGGAUUGGGGAUACUAAUUUGCCGCGAAUGAACACCUAUUGAUAGCAGUCAUUGCUGAACAGGUUCUAAUACAUUGUUUAAAGUACUCUGGAAGAUUCCGUACACGGAUGUUCGUUAUUCGGGGGAAAUACGCCAUUCAGGGCUUUUAUUAUCGGCUUCCGGGAAUCACCAUCAAUGGACCCUGAACGAACAGCAUCUAUUGCUUCGUAGGUGAAAGAAAAAAAAAAAAACGGGUGAAGAGCCAUUAGAAGAGCAGGACGAACGACGCAGGAAAUGUGUUUUUUUUAGUGUAGAAAAUGAUUAUGUCAGUGAUGGAUGUCGUUGAAAAUGAAUAAAAAAUGGAAGUGAAAAGGAGUUUAAUAAAAAAUAAA
Aedes aegypti (yellow fever mosquito) is the source of this 404-nucleotide long non-coding RNA. RefSeq lists it as uncharacterized. The record is from RefSeq and is a predicted model, not a curated record. NCBI's taxonomy places the organism in Eukaryota, Metazoa, Arthropoda, Insecta, Diptera, Culicidae. The transcript has 2 exons.